RNAcentral lists this transfer RNA (72 nucleotides) under Paecilomyces variotii. RNAcentral describes it as "Byssochlamys spectabilis tRNA". It matches the Rfam family "tRNA". Rfam says of the family: Transfer RNA (tRNA) molecules are approximately 80 nucleotides in length. The record is from Rfam by way of RNAcentral. Lineage: Eukaryota; Fungi; Ascomycota; Eurotiomycetes; Eurotiales; Thermoascaceae. RNAcentral also lists the same sequence under 1 other name.
GGGCCUGUGGCGCAACGGUAGCGCGUUCGACUCCAGAUCGAAAGGUUGUUGGUUCAAAUCCUGCCGGGCUCA